Molecule: unclassified non-coding RNA, 488 nt
Filed under: Hevea brasiliensis (rubber tree)
Lineage: Eukaryota; Viridiplantae; Streptophyta; Magnoliopsida; Malpighiales; Euphorbiaceae
Source: RNAcentral
GAAGAAGAAGAAGAAGAAGAUGCAGGAGAGAGGUCAAAGGAGGAAAGGACAGUAACGAGAGGGAAUAAGGAUAGAUGACUAUAUUUAGGCUUAGGGUUAUGUUUUUAUCUCUUGGGCUUGGCUUGGACAAGGGCCUGUAUAUGUAAGGGUUAAACUUUUGGGCUUUAAAUUUUGGUUUAUUUGAUUUUAUCGGUUAUAACCAAAAAUCAAACUGAACUGACCAAAAAUCAAAAUUCACCUAAAUAUACUAACCGAAUUAAAACCAAAAACUGAAUAACUAAACCAUUUAAAUCGAAAUCUAUCAAUUUGGUUUGGUUUCUCAAUUCAAACUGAGAAAUGCUCAACCCUAGUCAUAAGAAUCUACCGAUUUAAAAAUCAUGCGAGCCAGGUGAUGCUUUGGUGAAUACCUAGCAGGGUCUACAGAAGGAGGGGCAAGCAAACAAAAUUUCUCCUGUAGCCAUACCUAUAUAAGAGAGAGAGAGAGAGAG